This 1457-nucleotide ribosomal RNA is filed under the name Limosilactobacillus fermentum. RNAcentral describes it as "bacterial SSU rRNA". It matches the Rfam family "Bacterial small subunit ribosomal RNA". The record is from RNAcentral. Lineage: Bacteria; Bacillati; Bacillota; Bacilli; Lactobacillales; Lactobacillaceae.
CGCGUUGGCCCAAUUGAUUGAUGGUGCUUGCACCUGAUUGAUUUUGGUCGCCAACGAGUGGCGGACGGGUGAGUAACACGUAGGUAACCUGCCCAGAAGCGGGGGACAACAUUUGGAAACAGAUGCUAAUACCGCAUAACAGCGUUGUUCGCAUGAACAACGCUUAAAAGAUGGCUUCUCGCUAUCACUUCUGGAUGGACCUGCGGUGCAUUAGCUUGUUGGUGGGGUAACGGCCUACCAAGGCGAUGAUGCAUAGCCGAGUUGAGAGACUGAUCGGCCACAAUGGGACUGAGACACGGCCCAUACUCCUACGGGAGGCAGCAGUAGGGAAUCUUCCACAAUGGGCGCAAGCCUGAUGGAGCAACACCGCGUGAGUGAAGAAGGGUUUCGGCUCGUAAAGCUCUGUUGUUAAAGAAGAACACGUAUGAGAGUAACUGUUCAUACGUUGACGGUAUUUAACCAGAAAGUCACGGCUAACUACGUGCCAGCAGCCGCGGUAAUACGUAGGUGGCAAGCGUUAUCCGGAUUUAUUGGGCGUAAAGAGAGUGCAGGCGGUUUUCUAAGUCUGAUGUGAAAGCCUUCGGCUUAACCGGAGAAGUGCAUCGGAAACUGGAUAACUUGAGUGCAGAAAGAGGGUAGUGGAACUCCAUGUGUAGCGGUGGAAUGCGUAGAUAUAUGGAAGAACACCAGUGGCGAAGGCGGCUACCUGGUCUGCAACUGACGCUGAGACUCGAAAGCAUGGGUAGCGAACAGGAUUAGAUACCCUGGUAGUCCAUGCCGUAAACGAUGAGUGCUAGGUGUUGGAGGGUUUCCGCCCUUCAGUGCCGGAGCUAACGCAUUAAGCACUCCGCCUGGGGAGUACGACCGCAAGGUUGAAACUCAAAGGAAUUGACGGGGGCCCGCACAAGCGGUGGAGCAUGUGGUUUAAUUCGAAGCUACGCGAAGAACCUUACCAGGUCUUGACAUCUUGCGCCAACCCUAGAGAUAGGGCGUUUCCUUCGGGAACGCAAUGACAGGUGGUGCAUGGUCGUCGUCAGCUCGUGUCGUGAGAUGUUGGGUUAAGUCCCGCAACGAGCGCAACCCUUGUUACUAGUUGCCAGCAUUAAGUUGGGCACUCUAGUGAGACUGCCGGUGACAAACCGGAGGAAGGUGGGGACGACGUCAGAUCAUCAUGCCCCUUAUGACCUGGGCUACACACGUGCUACAAUGGACGGUACAACGAGUCGCGAACUCGCGAGGGCAAGCAAAUCUCUUAAAACCGUUCUCAGUUCGGACUGCAGGCUGCAACUCGCCUGCACGAAGUCGGAAUCGCUAGUAAUCGCGGAUCAGCAUGCCGCGGUGAAUACGUUCCCGGGCCUUGUACACACCGCCCGUCACACCAUGAGAGUUUGUAACACCCAAAGUCGGUGGGGUAACCUUUUAGGAGCCAGCCGCCUAAGGUGGGACAGAUGAUUAGG